This 301-nucleotide ribosomal RNA is filed under the name uncultured bacterium. RNAcentral's name for it is "partial 16S ribosomal RNA". It matches the Rfam family "Bacterial small subunit ribosomal RNA", at positions 509 to 809 of the family's 1533-position model. The record is from RNAcentral.
CAGUAGCCGCGGUAAUACGGAGGGGGCUAGCGUUGUUCGGAAUUACUGGGCGUAAAGCGCACGUAGGCUGCUUUGUAAGUUAGAGGUGAAAGCCUGGUGCUCAACACCAGAACUGCCUUUAAGACUGCAGAGCUAGAACGUCGGAGAGGUGAGUGGAAUUCCGAGUGUAGAGGUGAAAUUCGUAGAUAUUCGGAAGAACACCAGUGGCGAAGGCGGCUCACUGGACGACUGUUGACGCUGAGGUGCGAAAGCGUGGGGAGCAAACAGGAUUAGAUACCCCCGUAGUCUUGUCUCUUAUACA